This is a long non-coding RNA of Pan troglodytes (chimpanzee), 2891 nucleotides long. RefSeq lists it as uncharacterized. The transcript has 3 exons. NCBI's taxonomy places the organism in Eukaryota, Metazoa, Chordata, Mammalia, Primates, Hominidae. The record is from RefSeq and is a predicted model, not a curated record.
AGCGGCCAGCGUGAGUCACGCGCGCAGGGAGAGCGCGAGGCGGCCUCUUCCUCCCCCCCUUCCUCCUCCGGCCCGGCCCAGACCGGUUCCAACCUGCUGGGGCCGGUCCCAACUGCCUCCAACUGCCACCAACCUCUGGUCGGGCUGUGGGGCGGGAAACUCGGUCCCGGCCGCCGAGUGGGGAAGGCGGGAGCUCGGGAUGCAGAGUGCACUCUCCCUAGGCCAGGCCUUCGAGGCCUAACUGUUCCUCAGACCGUAAAACCACAGUAGUAGGCUCCUUUGGGGCAGUGAGAAGUCCAAGACACAACCAAGACGAGUUCCGUGGGGUCCAGCCCCAGAACCCACCUAUGAAUGAUGAUUAACGUGAAGUCCUGUCAGGAGAUUCCGUGCAGUUUGCACAGGAAGCCUUUUGUGUCCCUAAGGCUCGUAGGUUGUCCACGAGGGCCACCCUUGCUUGAAUUCACAGUCGACGUAGAUAAACAUGCAAAGAUGGAAACGUGUCCGUGCGUGCCCAUGACCGUUUCCCUCGCGGGCUGUGCGGAGCCUGAGUCUGGGAGCCCGAAGGUGAUGGGUUCCAAGUAUGUCUGCAGGCUCAGCAGAAAUGUAGCAUUAGAGGGAGCCCCAAAUACUGACACUACAGGAGUCCAGCAGGAUGGGAAAACCUCUUCCUGGAAGUCUUGCAUCUGUGUGCUUUUAGGUCACUGUCUUCAUUUCCUUCAAGCCACGUUAAGCAUUCCCUAGAGUUAGGUGAUGUGGGAGAAAGAUGAAUAAGGGGCGGUUUCUCCUGUUAAGCAAAAUGUUGCUUUCCAUUUUCCCUGAUGCUCUGUGAAUGCCUCUCAUCCCCAUGGGCUCCUGAGUGAUGUGCAUGUUUAAAAGGAUCCCCAGCUGCGAGAGGUUUUGGAACCUGGGGGGUUGAACAGCUCUUAAGUUGUUCAGUGAACGAAGAACAGAAUCAUCUGUUGGAGUAGAGAGAACUCAAACCAGUCAGGAGGAACGCUUGUUAUAGAAGACCUUGGGAAACUGUUCUGGGGUUGGGGAACAUUGGUUAUAGGAAGUGUAUGGUUUCUUUGUGGGAUUCUCUGUUGUUGGCUGAAAUCAUUUAAGCUUCUUGACUACAGUCUGACUCACGUUAACCACUCCUUUUCUGAUAUGGACAUUGCUUUCCUGGUCCUUUCUUACUGGAGAUCUUUCGCAGUCUUUCCAUUGAUUUUGGUGAGAUGUUCUUAGCUCAGAGACUACUGAUGAGUUGAAUGGUGUAGUCUUGAUUUUCGAAUCUGGAAACUUCACGUAAUUGGAACUUCUUUAUAAUCUCUGGUUGCUCAGAUCACUGUUUUUAGCAAAAUAAACACAUUUUGAGUCAUGAGAGUCUUGGCUUCAGCAACUUGUGUUUCUGUGUUGUGUUGUCAUUGAGCAUACUAUGGAAUCUGUAAUAGAAAGGCUUUCUUAUUUUGGAAUUGACAGGUGAAACAAGUGAACAGCUGAUUAAAUGUCAGUAUCUGAGUCUUUGUCCUCUUGAUGCUCAUUUGUUUAAAACCUGUCUUUCCUGCCGGGCGUGGUAGCUCUCACGCCUGUAAUCACAGCAUUUUGGGAGGCCGAGGCGGAUCGCAUGAGGUCAGGAGUGAAGAGACCAGCCUGCCCAAUAUGGCAAAACCGCGUCUCUACUAAAAAUACAAAAAAUUAGCUGGGUGUGCUGGCGGGGACCUGUAAUCCCAGCUACUCAGGAGGCUGAGGCAGGAGAAUCGCUUGAACCCGGGAGGCGGAGGUGGCAGUGAGCCGAGAUCGUGCCACUGCACUCCAGCCUGAGCGACAAGAGCACAACUCCGUCUCAAAAAACAGAAACAAAAACAAACAAAAAAAGCCUGCCUUUCCAUUCCUUGUGGCUAUGUUAGAUACUAAAGAAGGCUUCCCCACAACCCAUAUGCAUCUGCUUUGACUGGUGGUUUCUAUCAUCCUACAAAGACUGUGACUUAUUGGUGAGGGCAGCUGGACAACUCUGAGAGCAACUUAGAGAAAUCCAUCUUGGGCACACUCUAUAAAGGAGCUCCUUCUCUGCAAAUAGCACCCCAGAUAAGUGCACAAAAGCAAGAUACCCUCGUGGACCUACACGUCCUCCCGCUUUUCAACACCCUGAUGCCUGAAGUGUGUAGAAUUUGACAGCAGUAUCAAGAGCUGAGGAGAAGGAGAAGAUGGAAAGGAGUCUAGCAACUUAAAAAUCUCACAGCAUUCUCUGUGAGGUGACCUUUUUUCCUGUUGGUGGCUCAAUUUCUUUAGGACAUAAAGAAGAUACUGAGGCCUGUGACAGCCUGUGACAGUAUCAUCAAGUCGUAUCUGAACUUAUUGAACUGUUUCCUCCCCUUCCUUAUUCUUUAUUCACAGUUUGCUUUUCAUGUGCAUAAGUUGACUCAUUUGUUUCCUGUUAGCAUUUGAAACACCAUAUAGCCACCAUAAGUCCUGACAAAAUGACUUUUAAUAAGGAGGGGGAAGGUCCAUGUCCCACCUUCCUAUGAAAUUUUGGCCUAUUCACAGGUCUACCCCCACAUAAGAGAAGUAGUUAUGUUCUGUAAAGAAGAGGUUGAUAAAAACCUUUAGCAUGGUGUUUUGUGACUUAGAAGUUUUAAGUAGUCAUUCUUAUAUCUAAGCAUUUAUUAAUUUUGGUAAGAACAUUACUACAUGUUUCUGAUGUCACUUUUACUGUUAAGAGGUGCCAGGCAUCUGGUGACCUGUCACUUCAGGAUUUGUGUGAAUCAGACCAUCUAAAUAUAAUAUAAAUUAGAGACUGGUACUUGUAUUUCCUGAUUAAAAACAAAGUAACCUCUGUUUUACUAUUGAAGUAAGAGUGCUUUAUAAUGAAUACAAAAAUGUAUAUUAAAUAUCCAGUAGAGCAUGCUAAA